RNAcentral lists this ribosomal RNA (391 nucleotides) under Chrysophyceae sp. RNAcentral describes it as "partial small subunit ribosomal RNA". It matches the Rfam family "Eukaryotic small subunit ribosomal RNA", at positions 582 to 975 of the family's 1831-position model. The record is from RNAcentral. Lineage: Eukaryota; Chrysophyceae.
AUUCCAGCUCCAAUAGCGUAUACUAAAGUUGUUGCAGUUAAAAAGCUCGUAGUUGAAUUUCUGGAUGCGAAAGAUGGUCGGCACCUCACGGUGUCUGUACUUUUCAUUCGCGUCCAUCCUCGGGAGGAACGUGUGGGGCUUUAAGUAGUUCUGCUCGGGAAUCUCGUCAUUUACUGUGAGCAAAAUAGAGUGUUCAAAGCAGGCUUAUGCCGUUGAAUAUAUUAGCAUGGAAUAAUAAGAUACGACUUUGGUCUAUUUUGUUGGUUUGCAUUCCAAAGUAAUGAUUAAUAGGGAUAGUUGGGGGUAUUCGUAUUCAAUUGUCAGAGGUGAAAUUCUUGGAUUUAUGGAAGACGAACUACUGCGAAAGCAUUUACCAAGGAUGUUUUCAUCA